Molecule: transfer RNA, 70 nt
Filed under: Omphalius rusticus
Lineage: Eukaryota; Metazoa; Mollusca; Gastropoda; Trochida; Tegulidae
Description: tRNA-Glu
Source: RNAcentral
AUCUCCGAGGUGUCAUUUAUGCACGUUAGAUUUUCGUUCUAAAGGAAUAAUUUUUUAAUUAUCGGUGAUU